AGCACUCGUACACUCCGGUUCCUCCGCGCCGUCCAUAUAUACCUGACGACUGCUCGCUACGUUUUGUUAGCC
RNAcentral lists this small RNA (72 nucleotides) under Xanthomonas dyei. Its description in RNAcentral is "sX9 sRNA". It matches the Rfam family "Xanthomonas sRNA sX9". Lineage: Bacteria; Pseudomonadati; Pseudomonadota; Gammaproteobacteria; Lysobacterales; Lysobacteraceae. The record is from RNAcentral.